Molecule: long non-coding RNA, 296 nt
Filed under: Mus caroli (Ryukyu mouse)
Lineage: Eukaryota; Metazoa; Chordata; Mammalia; Rodentia; Muridae
Description: lncRNA (MGP_CAROLIEiJ_G0005414.1)
Source: RNAcentral
UGGAUCCUUCUCAGAAGGCGGAGUGGUUCCAACAACCGAGCUCUCUGGUAGCCACCAGCCUAGAACAUUAUUUUCAGGCCCAAGGAAGCAGUAGCGAGGUUUAAAACAUAAGGGAAGUGCCCAGCCUGAACUUCCAGACCCAUCACUUUACCCCACCCCCCAACACAGCCAGCUCUGUGUCUUUAGACGUUCUUAGACUCAGUCAAUGGUGGACUUGUACAAGCGUUUGGAGGGCAGAAAACCAGAAGUCUAGAAUACUGUCAUGUGUAUCCAUUAAAAUGCUUAUGGUUAAGCCA